This 426-nucleotide ribosomal RNA is filed under the name uncultured bacterium. RNAcentral describes it as "bacterial SSU rRNA". It matches the Rfam family "Bacterial small subunit ribosomal RNA", at positions 355 to 774 of the family's 1533-position model. The record is from RNAcentral.
UGGGGAAUCUUGCGCAAUGGGCGAAAGCCUGACGCAGCGACGCCGCGUGAGUGAUGAAGGCCUUCGGGUUGUAAAGCUCUGUGGGGAGAGACGAAUAAGCUUUGGCUAAUAUCCAGGGUGAUGACGGUAUCUCCUUAGCAAGCACCGGCUAACUCUGUGCCAGCAGCCGCGGUAAGACAGAGGGUGCAAACGUUGUUCGGAAUUACUGGGCGUAAAGCGCAUGUAGGCGGCCUAGCAGGUCGGAUGUGAAAGCCCUCGGCUCAACCGAGGAAGUGCAUUCGAAACCGCAAGGCUUGAGUCCCGGAGAGGGUAGUGGAAUUCUCGGUGUAGAGGUGAAAUUCGUAGAUAUCGAGAGGAACACCGGUGGCGAAAGCGGCUACCUGGACGAGGACUGACGCUGAGAUGCGAAAGCGUGGGGAGCAAACA